This 460-nucleotide ribosomal RNA is filed under the name uncultured bacterium. RNAcentral describes it as "partial 16S ribosomal RNA". It matches the Rfam family "Bacterial small subunit ribosomal RNA", at positions 338 to 795 of the family's 1533-position model. The record is from RNAcentral.
CCUACGGGUGGCAGCAGUGAGGAAUAUUGGUCAAUGGGCGUAAGCCUGAACCAGCCACGUCGCGUGAGGGAUGACGGUCCUAUGGAUUGUAAACCUCUUUUAUAAGGGAAUAAAGUGCGGGACGUGUGCCUUUUUGUAUGUACUUUAUGAAUAAGGAUCGGCUAACUCCGUGCCAGCAGCCGCGGUAAUACGGAGGAUCCGAGCGUUAUCCGGAUUUAUUGGGUUUAAAGGGUGCGUAGGUGGCUUGUUAAGUCAGCGGUGAAAGUUUGGGGCUCAACCGUAGAAUUGCCGUUGAUACUGGGAGGCUUGAGUAUAGUUGAGGCAGGCGGAAUGCGUGGUGUAGCGGUGAAAUGCUUAGAUAUCACGCAGAACCCCGAUUGCGAAGGCAGCCUGCCAAGCUAUGACUGACGCUGAUGCACGAAAGCGUGGGGAUCAAACAGGAUUAGAUACCCUAGUAGUC